RNAcentral lists this transfer RNA (76 nucleotides) under Puteibacter caeruleilacunae. RNAcentral's name for it is "Prolixibacteraceae bacterium JC036 tRNA-Gly". It matches the Rfam family "tRNA". Rfam says of the family: Transfer RNA (tRNA) molecules are approximately 80 nucleotides in length. Their secondary structure includes four short double-helical elements and three loops (D, anti-codon, and T loops). The record is from RNAcentral. Lineage: Bacteria; Pseudomonadati; Bacteroidota; Bacteroidia; Marinilabiliales; Prolixibacteraceae.
GCGGGAAUAGCUCAGUUGAUAGAGCAUCAGCCUUCCAAGCUGAGGGUCGCGGGUUUGAGUCCCGUUUCCCGCUCCA